This 1410-nucleotide ribosomal RNA is filed under the name metagenome. RNAcentral describes it as "SSU rRNA". It matches the Rfam family "Eukaryotic small subunit ribosomal RNA", at positions 16 to 1462 of the family's 1831-position model. The record is from RNAcentral.
CCCAGUAGUCAUAUGCUUGUCUCAAAGAUUAAGCCAUGCAUGUCUAAGUAUAAGCAAUCAUACUGUGAAACUGCGAAUGGCUCAUUAAAUCAGUUAUCGUUUAUUUGAUAGUACCUUUACCUGGAUAACCGUGGUAAUUCUAGAGCUAAUACAUGCUAAAAACCCCGACUUCGGAAGGGGUGUAUUUAUUAGAUAAAAAACCAAUGCCCUCUGGGCUCUUUGGUGAUUCAUAAUAACUUAACGAAUCGCAUGGCCUUGCGCCGGCGAUGGUUCAUUCAAAUUUCUGCCCUAUCAACUUUCGAUUGUAAGAUAGAGGCUUACAAUGGUAUUAACGGGUAACGGGGAAUUAGGGUUCUAUUCCGGAGAGGGAGCCUGAGAAACGGCUACCACAUCCAAGGAAGGCAGCAGGCGCGCAAAUUACCCAAUGCUAAUUCAGCGAGGUAGUGACAAUAAAUACUGAUACGGGGCUCUUUCGGGUCUCGUAAUUGGAAUGAGUACAAUCUAAAUCCCUUAACGAGGAACAAUUGGAGGGCAAGUCUGGUGCCAGCAGCCGCGGUAAUUCCAGCUCCAAUAGCGUAUAUUAAAGUUGUUGCCGUUAAAAAGCUCGUAGUUGAACCUUGGACCUGGCUGAUCUGUCCUCCUAAUCGAGCGCACGGAUUCGGUCGGGUCUUUCCUUCUGGGGAGCCCUAUGCCCUUCACUGGGUGUAGUGGGGAACCAGGACUUUUACCUUGAAAAAAUUAGAGUGUUCAAAGCAGGCCUUUGCUCGAAUACACUAGCAUGGAAUAAUAGAAUAGGACAUCGGUUCUAUUUUGUUGGUUUCUAGGACCGCUGUAAUGAUUAAUAGGGAUAGUCGGGGGCGUCAGUAUUCAAUUGUCAGAGGUGAAAUUCUUGGAUUUAUUGAAGACUAACUACUGCGAAAGCAUUCGCCAAGGAUGUUUUCAUUAAUCAGUGAACGAAAGUUAGGGGAUCGAAGACGAUCAGAUACCGUCGUAGUCUUAACCAUAAACUAUGCCGACUAGGGAUCGGACGGUGGUUUUUUUAUGCCCCGUUCGGCACCUUACGAGAAAUCAAAGUUUUUGGGCUCGGGGGGGAGUAUGGUCGCAAGGCUGAAACUUAAAGAAAUUGACGGAAGGGCACCACCAGGCGUGGAGCCUGCGGCUUAAUUUGACCCAACACGGGGAAACUCACCAGGUCCAGACAUGCUUAGGAUUGACAGAUUGAUAGCUCUUUCUUGAUUGUAUGGGUGGUGGUGCAUGGCCGUUCUUAGUUGGUGGAGUGAUUUGUCUGCUUAAUUGCGAUAACGAACGAGACCUUGACCUGCUAAAUAGCCAGGUUGACUUUUGUCGGCCGCCGGCUUCUUAGAGGGACUUUUGGCUCAAGCCAAUGGAAGUACGAGGCAAUAACAGGUC